Molecule: ribosomal RNA, 252 nt
Filed under: uncultured bacterium
Lineage: Bacteria
Description: partial 16S ribosomal RNA
Rfam family: Bacterial small subunit ribosomal RNA
Source: RNAcentral
UACGUAGGUCCCGAGCGUUGUCCGGAUUUAUUGGGCGUAAAGCGAGCGCAGGUGGUUUAUUAAGUCUGGUGUAAAAGGCAGUGGCUCAACCAUCGUAUGCAUUGGAAACUGGUAGACUUGAGUGCAGGAGAGGAGAGUGGAAUUCCAUGUGUAGCGGUGAAAUGCGUAGAUAUAUGGAGGAACACCGGUGGCGAAAGCGGCCAACUGGGCUUUAACUGACGCUGAGGCUCGAAAGUGUGGGGAGCAAACAGG